AAAAAAUGUUUUCUUCCUAAAAAGCGUCUACCACACAGAUUUGACUAGACGGUGUUGCCGUAUUUCAGCGUCCAAGAUGGCCGCCGCGAUGGGCAUGCGCAGUCGACAAAAAUACGAAUCUGGCAGAAAUACAGAUCUGGCAGCCAC
This is a long non-coding RNA of Melanotaenia boesemani (Boeseman's rainbowfish), 147 nucleotides long. RefSeq lists it as uncharacterized. The transcript is spliced from 3 exons. Lineage: Eukaryota; Metazoa; Chordata; Actinopteri; Atheriniformes; Melanotaeniidae. The record is from RefSeq and is a predicted model, not a curated record.